RNAcentral lists this ribosomal RNA (406 nucleotides) under uncultured bacterium. RNAcentral describes it as "partial 16S ribosomal RNA". It matches the Rfam family "Bacterial small subunit ribosomal RNA", at positions 30 to 526 of the family's 1533-position model. The record is from RNAcentral.
AUUGAACGCUGGCGGCAGGCCUAACACAUGCAAGUCGAACGAGUGGCGGACGGGUGAGUAAUGUCUGGGAAACUGCCUGAUGGAGGGGGAUAACUACUGGAAACGGUAGCUAAUACCGCAUACCAUCGGAUGUGCCCAGAUGGGAUUAGCUAGUAGGUGGGGUAACGGCUCACCAAGGCGACGAUCCCUAGCUGGUCUGAGAGGAUGACCAGCCACACUGGAACUGAGACACGGUCCAGACUCCUACGGGAGGCAGCAGUGGGGAAUAUUGCACAAUGGGCGAAAGCCUGAUGCAGCCACGCCGCGUGUAUGAAGAAGGCCUUCGGGUUGUAAAGUACUGUCAGCGGGGAGGCGUUACCCGCAGAAGAAGCACCGGCUAACUCCGUGCCAGCAGCCGCGGUAAUUC